GACGUAGGAUGCGAGCGUUGUCCGGAUUUAUUGGGCGUAAAGAGUUCGUAGGUGGUUUGUUAAGUCUGAUGUUAAAGACUGAGGCUCAACCUCGGGAGUGCAUUGGAUACUGGCAGACUGGAGUGUAGUAGAGGCAAGCGGAAUUCCCAGUGUAGCGGUGAAAUGCGUAGAUAUUGGGAAGAACACCAGUGGCGUAAGCGGCUUGCUGGGCUAUAACUGACACUGAGGAACGAAAGCCAGGGGAGCAAAUGGG
Molecule: ribosomal RNA, 253 nt
Filed under: uncultured bacterium
Lineage: Bacteria
Description: partial 16S ribosomal RNA
Rfam family: Bacterial small subunit ribosomal RNA
Source: RNAcentral